CUGUGUACAUUCGCAAUAAAUGCGAAGAUGCGACAAUAAUUGAGGAAAUACAAUGUACAACAAUUACAAAGUGUUUCCUCGUCAUAUUGUGUAUAAAAGUGGUCAUACUUGGUCCUCCAUCACAACUUGUCCUGACACAGACUGACGAAGUGUAACCUUUAGUAGUGGCCAAAGAAUCAAUCAACUGAAGAUGUUAAAGCUUAUCGUGCUGUCGUGUCUAGUUGCCUGUGUCUUGUGCCGGUCCUACGGCGGAGUAAGGCGUGAUUCCUCGUUGUUUGAUGGAAUCGGUAGAAACAGGUGGGACACAGGUCUUGACCGUUGGGGAAACGAUCCUUGGAACGGUGAUAUCUAUGGAAGCGACAGGUACGGACGAGGAAGCGACAUGUGGAGAAAUAGGCGGGAUCGUGACAUUAUAAGAAGAAACAGAUGGGGAAACGAGAGGAUAUACUAAUGACGAGAUGAUCAAGUAUAGAAUAAGAUCCAUGUUGCCAAACAUUUGAAAAGGAAAAUCCAAUCUUACCGUUUCAUGCUUACAUUCAUCUGUACAUUCAUAUUCAUCAAUGUUUGUAAAUAAA
Molecule: long non-coding RNA, 575 nt
Filed under: Mizuhopecten yessoensis (Yesso scallop)
Lineage: Eukaryota; Metazoa; Mollusca; Bivalvia; Pectinida; Pectinidae
Description: uncharacterized LOC110445519
Source: RNAcentral